Alexandromys fortis (reed vole) is the source of this 4494-nucleotide long non-coding RNA. RefSeq lists it as uncharacterized. The record is from RefSeq and is a predicted model, not a curated record. The transcript has 5 exons. NCBI's taxonomy places the organism in Eukaryota, Metazoa, Chordata, Mammalia, Rodentia, Cricetidae.
GCUGUCUUCCUCAACAAUCCUACAAGCGGUUCCAUCAACCCGAUUUGGCAGAGAAGGCAACUGGAAUCUGCCUAAAGUCUCGGUUAUUCAAGCUAGAGCUUUCCUGUGUCCUCAAAGUUCACGUGUGUGCACAUGUGUGUGUGUGUGCAUGCACACGCAUGUGUACAUGUAGUGGUGGAGGUCAGAGGUCAAUUCAGGUGUGAGACAGGGUCUCUCAUGGGGACCCAGGGCUCACAGAUUAGGCGAGGCUGCCUGGCCAGCAAGCCCAAAGGAUCCUUUUGUCUUUAUCUUCCCAGAGCUUGGGUUAAAGGCGCAUGCUUCUCACACCUGGCCGGGCUGUUUCUGUGGGAGCUGGGAUUGAACCGUGGUCCUCAUGCUUGUGAGGCAAGCACUUUACUGAAUGUAUCAGCUCCCCAGCCUGAAGUUCACGCAGCAGGGCACGAUGACUCUUCCCCCUCUUUACUUCCAGGGGGGUUGUUACUUAUUUUGCCAAGCGGGAGCCAGCUCAGACUAGCUGGUCGGUGGAUGUUUAUACAAUAGGGAUUGGUAACCUCUAUGAAUCAGGGGUCUCCAUCUCCCCCACAGGAUGAGGUCUUCUCUGUGACUGUAAAAACACCAACAGAGCCUUGACCCCGAUGAGCACGGGGCCGCCCAGGGUCCACACCUGGUGGUCACACAGGGCUAGUUGCAGACCACACUAGGGUAGACACAUCUGUUUGGAGAGGAGGAGGGUGUGCACAGGAGAGAGCAGGGGACUGUAGUACCGGCUCUUUACACAAGAACAAAGGGCCAGGGUUUUAGUCAUGGGAACUUCCUGGGGAGGCAUUGAACCUUGUCAUUACGUCGGCCUUUCAAAACAGAGGAGCUAUUCUGGAACAACUAAGGUGGCCUGUGUUGGGAGUGAAGGGGGAUGCACAACACAGGGGAGGGGUGACCUCCUCUUCUGAGGAGUGACUGUGACUUCCAGGCUGAGGUCUGGACGUGGGAGCAGUUUGUGAAUCAGAGUCUCCACCCAGGACCACACUCGGGGUCCUUUCUGCCGGCUAGAUGGUGCCCCGCGGUGAUGGACGGUCAGGUGAUGUCUUACAGUGACUGGAUGACCAGGUGGUGCCCUGCAGUGACUGGGUGGUCAGGAGGUGCCCCGCAAUGAUAGAACCCCUAGAACAUCAGAGGCCACAGGAGCACCUAGAUCUCUGAACCUGCUUUGGGUUGUCAUCACUGGGAGACCACAGGCAGGCAAAUCCUGGGCUCUUGCUAUGUGGCCCAGGCCGGCCUGAAACUUCUGGGCGAUUCUCCUUCCUCUGCCUUCCGAGUGCUGAGAUCACAGGUGUGUGCCGCCAGGCCUGUUUCUCCUGUCUCCCUGUGCAGAGCUGAUUCACAGGCACCGGGAACAUCUAAGCAGUGUGAUCGUGAUCCUCGAGGCUCAGAAGGAAAGCGAAAGUGAAGGAUUAACAAUAAACAGAUGCUGAUAAGGAGCCUGGUAUCUCCGCACUCCACUCCAGCACCACCCCACACCCAUCUUAUCUGCUCGCCCAACCAAGGCCAACUAAGAUUUUCUUGGGUGCCAAGUGCCACAAGAGACACCGAAGAUGGCAGUGAACAGCACUCUAUUGUAUGGCCCUUUGGAGGUCCCAGGAAGGUGAAAGACUUUGAACGCCUAGUUGGUGUGCAGAAAGAGCUACAAAGGAGCGUGUGGGGUCUUUAAGGAGGCUCAAGUUUUGUUCUGGUGACAACAAUGACAUUCAAGAUGACAUCACCCAGUCUCACCAACAGGAUGCCUUUGUUCUGGGAGUUCAGACUCUGCCAGCCACCAAGCCCAUUUCUACCCUUCCUGAAAUGCAAGACAGAUCAUCUUGACCAACUUCCUCUUCAUAAGAGAUCAGCCUGACCAGCUUCCUCUUCAUAAGAGAUCAGCCUGACCAGCUUCCUCUUCAUAAGGGAUCAGCCUGACCAACUUCCUCUUCAUUAUAGAUCAUCUUGACCAACUUCCUCUUCAUAAGAGAUCAGCUUGACCAACUUCCUCUUCAUAUAAUAACUGGGGAAACUGCCCAGAGCAGGGAGCAAGCUGGAAAGAUCCUGUGGUCUUAGGUGGAUAAGGUGUAUAUGCGCCAUAGUUUACAUUGCUCCAGAGGGACAGAACUGCUGGUAAUAAUUGAUAGCAUUUAGCACCUUAUAUUUGGUUUGGGGUAGGUUCUUUUCAUUCAUUUGGUUUUUAAGAUAGUCUCAUGCACUCCAGGUUGGCCUCAAAUUCAUUUUGAGGAUGACCUUGAACUCCUGAUUCUCCCGUCUCCCCUCCCCGAGAGCAGGGUUAGUACUGUUUGGCUCCAAUCCCAGUUUAUUCUGUGCUGGGAAGUCAAACCCAGGUGUUUGGGCAAGCUAAGGAAACACCUAACCAACUGAGCAAUAACCCCAGCCCUCCUUGUGUUUUGAGACGGGGUCUCACUUUGUAGUCCAUGCUGGGCUUGAACUCCUGGUGAUUCUCCUGCCGCAGCCUCCUGUAAGGCUGGGGUUAUAGGUGUAGCUGCCACGUCCGCUCCAGUUUGUGUUCAUCCCCCCCUGCCGCUUCCUAGCCUGAGUUCUGCCAACUCUGUCUCCAAGGCUUCGGACAACACCCGCCCCUGCCCACCGAUCUCCUGGUCAGUGGCAAACUCCUUAUAGAGCAGGCGCAGACUGAGGGCUGGUGUUUUCCUUCCUGAGACUGGACUUGGGUCAAAAUCAACAGGAGCUCGAUUCCCUGACGUGGCUCCAUGUUUCCUUUCCUGAACUCUGUGUUUUGUGCUUAGUGUUCUUCCAGCAGUUCGAAGGUGUCUGACCUUCUGGGCGCGAAGAUAAGUGCACUAAAGACCCACACAGGGAAUGACUCACACGGGGGUGGAUCCUGAAGCCAGGGGUCCCUGCUCUGCUUGUAGAUGGAGUGAAUUGGGGUAUUUCUAGAAGGAGGCUUAAAGUCUCUCUCUCCCUCUCUCUCAUUGCUCUCAAGCUGGCCCCAAACUUGGUGUGUACUUGAGGUGACCUUUAACUCCUGAUUCUCCCGCCUCCGCUCUUUGGGUGCUGGGAUUACAGGCACGAACCAUCAUACCUAUUUUAUGUGGUUCCGGGGAUUAAACCCAGGGUCUUCUAUACCAAAGGAGCCAUGUACAUCAAACCAGGCACAGCGAUGCUUGCUCUAAUCUCAGCAUUGGAAAGGUAGAGGCAGAAGGAUCAGGGUCAUUCUCAGUUACGUAGUAAGUCUGAAGCCAGACGACAAUAUGUGAGACCUUGUCUCAAAGAAACCAAACAACUACCCAACAUCAGUGAGCUAUCUAUUCUUGUCUGUUGGCCCGGCUAUGGUCAUUUCCAGAAAGGAAUAGAAGUGUAGAGAAAAAGCCACACAAUUGGUAGGUAGGGCUUGGGGCUGCAGGACAUGAAAUUCCAGGCCACGCUGAACCUCCCACAGCACCCUGUGUUCCUAUCCAGUCUUCCGUCUACUGACUAACCUCACUCCGAUGACUGUGUAGAUAGGCUCAGCUCAGAUGUGGGCUCUGACUCAGCUGUGACCACCCUGGGCUAUAGGGACCCACAGCUAGGGAGGGGCUCUUAGUGGGCGUCUUUAUUCCAUUUCCAGCACAGUGCCUGGAACGCAGUGGCAGACAAAAGGGUGGGGGAGGAUUGCAGGUUAGAGAUAAAGGUGGUCGCACGGAGGUUUGGGGAAGGCUGUGAUGUGCGGCUAAAUCCAUGGCCCUGAAAGUCCUCGGCAGGUGGCUGGGAGGCACCUUGGCAUCGAUUGUAUAGAAACAGGUUACAUCUGAAGACAUGGUUCAUCGGCUUAGCAUCUCAACCUCGAUAAAUGACCCAGACUGUGCUCACGUUAAUCUACUCAGGAGACUGGGUAUCUCCUAGCAUCCUUACACAAACAAAAUUACACACCCCAUUCUAACAGAGGGUUUUCCCUUUCAUCUUUAUUAACCAGCGUUUGCCUUGGGCCACUUUUGUCUCCUUCCUCACCAGAGGCCGUCCUCUGUCCCUCUGAGACACACAUCCCUCCCUUCCUUCUCUCCCUUGUCCCUUCCCCUUCUCCCACAUCCUCCAUCUCCUGCCUUUCAUCCCUAGGGGCAAAUAAAUCUCUUUCGUGCUAAGAACUUUGUGCUGAAUACCUGUCCCUUCAAGUCACAGCUCACAGAAGCUGGGAACCUGGAGCUGUGGAGAUGUGAGGAGAGUCUCCGGAGUUGGGGGGGGGGGAGCUCUAGGGGAAGAACAAUGCUGGUGCCGCUGCAGCUGCUGUUGCACAGAGCCAGGACCCCCAAACACUACCGAGAGACCAGAUCCAGUGCAAAAGCAAAGAGUCUUUUUUUUUUUUAAUUAUUAUUUUAAUUAUAGUAGCAUGCUGGGUCUGACCAUCCUACACAAAGGCAAGACGGUGAUGACCCCAAGGAGGUGGGGGCUUCUUUUAAGCGUUACUGAGGGGAGUGUCUAAGGAAGUUAGGUCAUUUUAAAUAUGAUCGGUUUAAGCAAGUG